UACGUAGGUGGCAAGCGUUGUCCGGAUUUAUUGGGCGUAAAGGGAGCGCAGGCGGUGAUUUAAGUCUGAUGUGAAAGCCCACGGCUCAACCGUGGAAUGGCAUUGGAAACUGUCCAACUUGAAUGCAGAAGAGGUAAGUGGAAUUCCAUGUGUAGCGGUGAAAUGCGUAGAGAUGUGGAGGAAUACCGGCGGCGAAGGCGGCCCCCUGGACGAAGACUGACGCUGAGGCUCGAAAGCGUGGGUAGCAAACAGG
RNAcentral lists this ribosomal RNA (253 nucleotides) under uncultured bacterium. RNAcentral's name for it is "partial 16S ribosomal RNA". It matches the Rfam family "Bacterial small subunit ribosomal RNA", at positions 524 to 776 of the family's 1533-position model. The record is from RNAcentral.